CCUUCGCGGCGUGUUUCAGGUGCCCCGUGGAGCGAUUUCCAGGCGGGGUGAAACUGGGAAGCCGGUGGUCGCCUUGCAGGCGCGAGUCCGGCGCUGCCCCCGCAACGGUAGGUGAGUCAAGCCACGCGCAGCGCCACUGGGUCGAUCCUGGGAAGGCGCGCGGCGGCCAGGGCCAUGGCCCUGCUCACGAGCCCGGAGACCGGCCUGUCACUGCCAAACGGC
Molecule: non-coding RNA, 222 nt
Filed under: Pseudomonas cremoricolorata
Lineage: Bacteria; Pseudomonadati; Pseudomonadota; Gammaproteobacteria; Pseudomonadales; Pseudomonadaceae
Source: RNAcentral